AUUCAUGUCCGCCGCUUCGUUGCUCUCCAGAGCUCCUCUCCUCUCCCCUUCCAUUUUUCUUUUCUUUUCUUUUCUUUGUUCCUUUGUUCCUUUUUGUUGUUUUUAUUUGGUCCUUUUUUCUCUGUUUUUCCUUCCCGUUUCCCCCCUCCCCCCUUUUUCCUUUCUUCUCUUUCCUUUUUUUUCAAUUAUAUGAUUCUAACUGAUUUUUUUCCCUUGUUAGAAUUGGUCUGGAUAUGAAGCUACUAAACGCAUGAGACACAGAAAUCAUCUUAAUUGAUCUUGCAGGUGAAAUAUUAGAAAUCUCUGGGUUUUCAGUUCCCUCGCAGCUGAAGCGCGGCCAGUUUAUUCGAGCAAAGAGGCUAAUUUUUCCGAGAAAAGCGCAGGCGAGUCCAACGAAGGUUUCUGCAUCUUCGGAUGAUAAUGGAAGCCCUCCCAAAUCCUUUGAUUACGAUCUCAUCAUUAUUGGCGCUGGCGUCAGUGGUCAUGGAGCUGCACUGCAUGCCGUAAAAAAGGGGUAAUGCUUCGUUUAGUACCAGUCAGUCUAAGCCCAAGCUUUGGCCUUUUAGCAUAGUUCAGCUUUAGACAAUACCACUCAAGAAUGCCUCUGCCAUUUGAUUAACAAAACUACGUGUUUAUUUAUGUGGGAAGCAGAAUCGGCCACCCUUGAAGCUUUAUCAAGAUCAAAGCCUUGAAGCGUAUGACCCUGGAUACUAGAUUUUGCACUAACUGUAGCUAUCUGAUCUUUGCAUUACCUGCUGUAUAUGUAUGUCAGCUCUUGAUGCAUUAUAUCUCACGCGGAUGGUGUUAUCAUAAUAUUUUUAUUUGGUUUAAAAUCUUGUGUAACUGGAUGAGUUAUUUUGUGCCAAGAGUUUGACCAUCCCUUUUGCUACUGAUGUAUUGAGAGGAUAGAAGUAUGGCCUAUAUUAAUAAUCCUCCUCCUUUUUUGAUCAAAUGCAAUUUAUCCCACUAAGGUUGAUAUGUAAACACAGUUUCUUUUCAUUAGAUUUCUUGAAGUUAUAUGCUAAUGAAAACCUUUUUAGUUAUUGUA
Long non-coding RNA from Coffea arabica (coffee), 1048 nucleotides. RefSeq lists it as uncharacterized. NCBI's taxonomy places the organism in Eukaryota, Viridiplantae, Streptophyta, Magnoliopsida, Gentianales, Rubiaceae. The record is from RefSeq and is a predicted model, not a curated record.